GAUGAACGCUAGCGACAGGCCUAACACAUGCAAGUCGAGGGGUAACAGGGAAGCUUGCUUCCGCUGACGACCGGCGCACGGGUGCGUAACGCGUAUGCAACCUACCUCAUACAGUGGGAUAGCCCGAAGAAAUUCGGAUUAAUACCACAUAACAUUGUGCUACCGCAUGGUAAUACAAUUAAAACUCCGGUGGUAUGAGAUGGGCAUGCGUGACAUUAGAUAGUUGGUGAGGUAACGGCUCACCAAGUCAACGAUGUCUAGGGGUUCUGAGAGGAAGGUCCCCCACACUGGUACUGAGACACGGACCAGACUCCUACGGGAGGCAGCAGUGAGGAAUAUUGGUCAAUGGGCGCAAGCCUGAACCAGCCAUGUCGCGUGCAGGAAGACGGCCCUAUGGGUUGUAAACUGCUUUUUUACGGGAAGAAAUAUAGCUACGUGGAGUUAUUUGCCGGUACCGUAGGAAUAAGGAUCGGCUAACUCCGUGCCAGCAGCCGCGGUAAUACGGAGGAUCCGAGCGUUAUCCGGAUUUAUUGGGUUU
This 538-nucleotide ribosomal RNA is filed under the name uncultured bacterium. RNAcentral describes it as "bacterial SSU rRNA". It matches the Rfam family "Bacterial small subunit ribosomal RNA", at positions 28 to 561 of the family's 1533-position model. The record is from RNAcentral.